Molecule: ribosomal RNA, 454 nt
Filed under: Entrophospora lamellosa
Lineage: Eukaryota; Fungi; Glomeromycota; Glomeromycetes; Entrophosporales; Entrophosporaceae
Description: LSU rRNA
Rfam family: Eukaryotic large subunit ribosomal RNA
Source: RNAcentral
GGAAAGAUGAAAAGAACUUUGAAAAGAGAGUUAAACAGUACGUGAAAUUGUUGAAAGGGAAACGAUUGAAGUCAGGCGUGCUGGCGCGAAAUCAACCCUCUCGUCGAGAGGUCACAUGGCGUGGCGAGCCUCAAAACCGUCACGAAGCGUGAACUCUUGGCGAAAAGGAGCACUUUCGUGUCCGCUGGUUAACAUCAAUUUCGAACGUCAUAAAAAGGCUGGAGGGAUGUGGCUCCUUCGGGAGUGUUAUAACCUUUAGCGGAAUGUGGUGGUCGGGAUUGAGGAUUGCAACGAAUACCUUUAGGGCUGUUCCACCUGGCUUCUCUUUGGUAUCCUGGUGAAGACAGCUUGCUGACUUUGUUAGGAUUCGCCUUUGAACAGGCUAGAGUGUGAGCAAAUUCGUUAAGGAUGUUAACGUAAUGGCUUUAAACGACCCGUCUUGAAACACGGACCA